UAGGGAAUCUUCCACAAUGGGCGAAAGCCUGAUGGAGCAACGCCGCGUGUGUGAUGAAGGCUUUCGGGUCGUAAAGCACUGUUGUAUGGGAAGAACAGCUAGAGUAGGAAAUGAUUUUAGUUUGACGGUACCAUACCAGAAAGGGACGGCUAAAUACGUGCCAG
Molecule: ribosomal RNA, 164 nt
Filed under: uncultured bacterium
Lineage: Bacteria
Description: partial 16S rRNA
Rfam family: Bacterial small subunit ribosomal RNA
Source: RNAcentral